RNAcentral lists this ribosomal RNA (400 nucleotides) under uncultured bacterium. RNAcentral's name for it is "bacterial SSU rRNA". It matches the Rfam family "Bacterial small subunit ribosomal RNA", at positions 355 to 752 of the family's 1533-position model. The record is from RNAcentral.
UGAGGAAUAUUGGUCAAUGGGCGCGAGCCUGAACCAGCCAAGUCGCGUGAGGGAAGACGGCCUUAUGGGUUGUAAACCUCUUUCAGAUGAGAGUAAAGGGUGUUACGAGUAGCACAUUGCAAGUAUCAUCAGAAGAAGCAUCGGCUAAUUCCGUGCCAGCAGCCGCGGUAAUACGGAAGAUGCGAGCGUUAUCCGGAUUUAUUGGGUUUAAAGGGUGCGUAGGCGGACCCGCAAGUCAGCGGUGAAAACGUGCGGCUUAACCGUACGCUUGCCAUUGAAACUGCGGGACUGGAGUUCGGAAGAGGUAUGCGGAAUGCGUGGUGUAGCGGUGAAAUGCAUAGAUAUCACGCAGAACCCCGAUUGCGAAGGCAGCAUACCAUAGCGAGACUGACGCUGAAGC